Phascolarctos cinereus (koala) is the source of this 267-nucleotide non-coding RNA. Lineage: Eukaryota; Metazoa; Chordata; Mammalia; Diprotodontia; Phascolarctidae. The record is from RefSeq and is a predicted model, not a curated record.
UAGGUUCCCUCCAUGUGAACAGAUAUAUGCUAGGAUGUUUGAGAAGAAAGUGUGGAGUAUUAAAUAUGUUACAGUUGCAGGCACCUCAGUUUAAAAAGGCCAUUUAUAAGUUGUAGAAUAUCCAGCGGAUGGAAACCAGCAUGGUGAAGAGGUUUGAGUCUAUGCCAUUUGAGGAUCAAUUGAAGGAAGCGGAUAUAUGUAAGCAAGAGGAGAGAGAACGGAAUGAAGAAAAGAUGGACAAUGACAGCAAAAGAUAACCAGUGGACA